GACGAACGCUGGCGGCGUGCUUAACACAUGCAAGUCGAACGGAAAGGCCCUGCUUGCCGGGUACUCGAGUGGCGAACGGGUGAGUAACACGUGGGUGAUCUGCCCUGCACUUCGGGAUAAGCCUGGGAAACUGGGUCUAAUACCGGAUAGGAGCCAUUUUUAGUGUGAUGGUUGGAAAGUUUUUUCGGUGUAGGAUGAGCUCGCGGCCUAUCAGCUUGUUGGUGGGGUAAUGGCCUACCAAGGCGGCGACGGGUAGCCGGCCUGAGAGGGUGGACGGCCACAUUGGGACUGAGAUACGGCCCAGACUCCUACGGGAGGCAGAAGUGGGGAAUAUUGCACAAUGGGCGCAAGCCUGAUGCAGCGACGCCGCGUGGGGGAUGACGGCCUUCGGGUUGGAAACUCCUUUCGCUAGGGACGAAGCUUUUUGUGACGGUACCUAGAUAAGAAGCACCGGCUAACUACGUG
This 465-nucleotide ribosomal RNA is filed under the name uncultured bacterium. RNAcentral's name for it is "partial 16S ribosomal RNA". It matches the Rfam family "Bacterial small subunit ribosomal RNA", at positions 28 to 507 of the family's 1533-position model. The record is from RNAcentral.